RNAcentral lists this ribosomal RNA (253 nucleotides) under uncultured prokaryote. RNAcentral's name for it is "partial 16S ribosomal RNA". It matches the Rfam family "Bacterial small subunit ribosomal RNA", at positions 525 to 777 of the family's 1533-position model. The record is from RNAcentral.
ACGAAGGGGGCUAGCGUUGCUCGGAAUUACUGGGCGUAAAGCGCACGUAGGCGGUUUCUUAAGUCGGGGGUGAAAUCCUGGAGCUCAACUCCAGAACUGCCUUCGAUACUGAGAGACUUGGGUUCGGGAGAGGUGAGUGGAACUGCGAGUGUAGAGGUGAAAUUCGUAGAUAUUCGCAAGAACACCAGUGGCGAAGGCGGCUCACUGGCCCGAUACUGACGCUGAGGUGCGAAAGCGUGGGGAGCAAACAGGA